RNAcentral lists this ribosomal RNA (429 nucleotides) under uncultured Anaerolineaceae bacterium. Its description in RNAcentral is "bacterial SSU rRNA". It matches the Rfam family "Bacterial small subunit ribosomal RNA", at positions 933 to 1382 of the family's 1533-position model. The record is from RNAcentral. Lineage: Bacteria; Bacillati; Chloroflexota; Anaerolineae; Anaerolineales; Anaerolineaceae.
CGGAGCGUGUGGUUUAAUUCGUUGCUACACGAAGAACUUACCUAGGUUUGACAUAUAGGUUGUAGGGAACUGAAAGGACGACCUUCGGGAGCCUAUACAGGUGUUGCAUGGCUGUCGUCAGCUCGUGUCGUGAGAUGUUCGGUUAAGUCCGCUAACGAGCGCAACCCUCGUCGUAUGUUAUAUGUGUCAUACGAGACUGCCGGUAAAAGCCGGAGGAAGGUGAGGAUGAUGUCAAGUCAGCAUGACCUUUAUAUCCAGGGCUACACACACGCUACAAUGGUCUGUACAAUGGGUAGCCAAGCCGCGAGGCGGAGCCAAUCCUGAAAGCAGGCCUCAGUUCAGAUUGCAGUCUGCAACUCGACUGCAUGAAGCCGGAGUUGCUAGUAACCGCAGGUCAGCAAUACUGCGGUGAAUACGUUCCCGGGUCUU